AUGGAUCCCUCGUGGCGACACUCGCAUGCCAUCGUCUCAUCAAGGGAGAGCAUCCUGACCCGCAUGUUGGAGCUGAUCGACCGUAGUACCGGGAGGUGGGAUGAUGAACUGGUGAGAAACUAUUUUCAGUCGGAUGAUGUGCAGGUCAUUUUGAGUAUUCCAAUAUUGCACGACUUCGCUUGGAGGCUUGCUCAGAAUAGCCACCCAAUGUACAUGAACAUGAGCAAACAAGGUGUUGAGCUAGAUACGAGAUGUGCAGUCUGCGGACGUUUGUUCAAGGAUGGUGGCCACCUGUUUUCCAAUUGCAAGCUCGUCAUACAAAGAUGGAGGGCGUUGCUUCUUGAGGAGGAGCGGAGCCAACUCUCUAUGCUCAAUUCGGUGAAAGAAGUUGUUCAGGCAAUCGUGAAAUACCCAGAUGAUAAGAAACUCCCAAUCAUCGCCUUGCUCUAG
This 450-nucleotide ribosomal RNA is filed under the name Triticum aestivum (bread wheat). Its description in RNAcentral is "partial small subunit ribosomal RNA". The record is from RNAcentral. Lineage: Eukaryota; Viridiplantae; Streptophyta; Magnoliopsida; Poales; Poaceae.